Molecule: ribosomal RNA, 408 nt
Filed under: uncultured bacterium
Lineage: Bacteria
Description: partial 16S ribosomal RNA
Rfam family: Bacterial small subunit ribosomal RNA
Source: RNAcentral
GACGAACGCUGGCGGCGUGCUUAACACAUGCAAGUCGAACGAAGUGGCGAACGGGUGAGUAACGCGUAAUCAACCUGCCCUUCAGAGGGGGACAACAGUUGGAAACGACUGCUAAUACCGCAUACUGAAGGAGGGGAUUGCGUCGGAUUAGCUCGUUGGAGGGGUAACGGCCCACCAAGGCGAUGAUCAGUAGCCGGUCUGGGAGGAUGAACGGCCACAUUGGGACCUGAAAACGGCCCAGACUCCUUCCGGGGGCAGCAGUGGGGGAACUUCCGCAAUGGGCGAAAGGCUUACGGAGCAACGCCGCGGGAGUGAUGACGGGCUUCGGGUUGUAAAGGUCUGUUAAUCGGGACGCGGUACCGGAAGAGAAAGCCACGGCUAACUACGUGCCAGCAGCCGCGGUAAUAC